Molecule: long non-coding RNA, 510 nt
Organism: Micropterus salmoides (largemouth bass)
Lineage: Eukaryota; Metazoa; Chordata; Actinopteri; Centrarchiformes; Centrarchidae
Exons: 3
Source: RefSeq, a predicted model, not a curated record
AAGAGUUUCUACUUGUGGCAAUGAAUAAGAAAUUCUAAAGUGGUUACCAAGAAGAUAUAAUGAGCCUCUGUCUUCAGUGAGCAUGAGUUACACUAUACCUGCUGUGUAAUCUGUUGUCUUAUUAGGACAAAACUCAAAUAUAGCACCAGGCUUGUGUUGAUGCUCAAGCCAAAUGCCACAUGCUCGAGAGGCUUAUUGUGUCUUUGAUCUCCAUCUGUCAGUUUCUUCAUUUGUCUCGCAGAAACAACUGGGCUCGGGAUAACAAACCAAGGUGAUUGUAACAUUCCUGUCUACAAGCUGGCCACAAAGAGCAUGGAGAUACAUGUUCCAUGACAGUAGCAUCCCUGUUUAACCAUGUUCACAGAGGCUUGUUCACAUCUAUCUCACCAUGCAUUGGACAGAAGGCAGGGAAACACGCUGGACAGUCCAUCAUAACCUUUUAACAUAUGCACCAGCUGAUAAAACUGAAGAUAUCAACAAACUUUGCAAAGCUCCUCCAGAGCCACAGAA